Molecule: long non-coding RNA, 463 nt
Filed under: Felis catus (domestic cat)
Lineage: Eukaryota; Metazoa; Chordata; Mammalia; Carnivora; Felidae
Description: lncRNA (ENSFCAG00000051643.1)
Source: RNAcentral
CACGGGGCUUGAACUCACGAACUGUGAGAUCAUGACCUGAGCCGAAGUUGGACGCUGAACCGAGCCACGCAGGCGCCGGAAAAAUGGAGAUUCUUGACGUCACCUCGGAACCCCUGAAUCACUAUUGUGGAAGCCAGGAGAUUUAUUUUUAAACAAUUCUACUACUCAUCACUGGGUCCUAGGCCGCAGGACCUAAAUCCUGCCAGCAACCGUGUGAGCUUGGAAGUGGAUCUCUCCCCACUCAAGCUUUUGGAUGAAACCUCAGUUCUGAUUGAUACACUGAUUACAGCCUCAUGAGAGAUCUUAAGGCAGAGCCCCCCAAUUAAGUCAUGCCUGCAUUCCUGACCCACAGAAACUGUGAGGUAACAAAUGUGUGCUAUUUAAGCCACUAAGUUAUUAUGGACAAUAAUAAUAUAAUUAUGAUAAUGUUAUUGUGAUAACAUUAUUAUGCAGUGAUAACUGA